GCUAUCUUAGCUCAGUUGGUAGAGCACUACGUUGGUAAUGUAGAGGUCGCAGGUUCAAAUCCCGUCGAUAGCUCCA
This 76-nucleotide transfer RNA is filed under the name Aedoeadaptatus nemausensis. RNAcentral describes it as "Peptoniphilus sp. 1804121828 tRNA-Thr". It matches the Rfam family "tRNA". Rfam says of the family: Transfer RNA (tRNA) molecules are approximately 80 nucleotides in length. Their secondary structure includes four short double-helical elements and three loops (D, anti-codon, and T loops). The record is from RNAcentral. Lineage: Bacteria; Bacillati; Bacillota; Tissierellia; Tissierellales; Peptoniphilaceae.